Molecule: non-coding RNA, 21 nt
Organism: Caenorhabditis elegans
Lineage: Eukaryota; Metazoa; Nematoda; Chromadorea; Rhabditida; Rhabditidae
Source: Ensembl
AUAGGGAAUGACUUUUUUCCC